GACCGUUCCGGUGGCCUAGUGGUCAGAGCGUCCGCCUCAGAUGUGGGAGGUCAUGGGUUCGAACACCGUCUGAGUCC
This is a non-coding RNA of Potamilus streckersoni, 77 nucleotides long. NCBI's taxonomy places the organism in Eukaryota, Metazoa, Mollusca, Bivalvia, Unionida, Unionidae. The record is from the annotation of a GenBank genome assembly.